AGAGUUUGAUCAUGGCUCAGAAUCAACACUGGCGGCGCGCUUAACACAUGCAAGUCGAACGAGAAAGCAUCCUUCGGGGUGUGAGUAAAGUGGCGUACGGGUGAGUAACACGUGGAUCAUCUACCUUUUAGUGGGGCAUACCUCUGGGAAACUGGAGACAAUACCGCAUAACCUCGCAAGAGGAAAGCAGCAAUGCGCUGAAAGAGGAGUCCGCGGCUGAUUAGCUAGAUGGUGAGGUAAUGGCUCACCAUGGCGAAGAUCGGUAGCCGGCCUGAGAGGGCACACGGCCACACUGGCACUGAAACACGGGCCAGACUCCUACGGGAGGCAGCAGUGGGGAAUCUUGCACAAUGGGGGAAACCCUGAUGCAGCGACGCCGCGUGAGCGAUGAAGCCUUUCGGGGUGUAAAGCUCUUUCGACGGGAACGAUAAUGACGGUACCCGAAGAAGAAGCUGCGGCUAACUACGUGCCAGCAGCCGCGGUAAUACGUAGGCAGCAAGCGUUGUUCGGAUUUACUGGGCGUAAAGAGUGCGUAGGCGGUGCUCCAAGUUUGGCGUGAAAUCUCCCGGCUUAACUGGGAGGGUGCGUCGAAUACUGGAGCGCUUGAGGGUGGGAGAGGAAAGCGGAAUUCCUGGUGUAGCGGUGAAAUGCGUAGAUAUCAGGAGGAACACCUGUGGUGUAGAC
RNAcentral lists this ribosomal RNA (684 nucleotides) under uncultured bacterium. RNAcentral describes it as "bacterial SSU rRNA". It matches the Rfam family "Bacterial small subunit ribosomal RNA", at positions 8 to 722 of the family's 1533-position model. The record is from RNAcentral.